RNAcentral lists this ribosomal RNA (116 nucleotides) under Bacillota bacterium. The record is from RNAcentral. Lineage: Bacteria; Bacillati; Bacillota.
UCUGGUGGAAAUAGCGGAGGGGUCCCACCCGUUCCCAUCCCGAACACGGCCGUUAAGCCCUCCAGCGCCGAUGGUACUGAGGACCUUGUCCUCGGGAGAGUAGGUCUCCGCCAGAA